AAUCAACGCUGGCGGCGUGCCUCAGACAUGCAAGUCGAACGAUUAAACUUUCCUUCGGGAAAGAUAUAAAGUGGCGCACGGGUGAGUAACACGUGGUUGACCUACCCCAAAGUAGGGGAUAACGUUCCGAAAGGAAUGCUAAGUACCCUAUAAGCUCCCGAUGUUCAGAAGAUUGGGAGAAAAAGUUCCGGCGCUUUGGG
This 200-nucleotide ribosomal RNA is filed under the name uncultured bacterium. RNAcentral describes it as "partial 16S ribosomal RNA". It matches the Rfam family "Bacterial small subunit ribosomal RNA", at positions 32 to 224 of the family's 1533-position model. The record is from RNAcentral.